This 741-nucleotide long non-coding RNA is filed under the name Homo sapiens (human). RNAcentral's name for it is "PREDICTED lncRNA (TCONS_00226221)". Lineage: Eukaryota; Metazoa; Chordata; Mammalia; Primates; Hominidae. The record is from RNAcentral.
AGAGCUACGGUGACACUUCGCGUGCGGUGUAGGCGCAUCUUCGCUCUGUUGGCCGUGGCUUUAGUAAGCACACACCUGCCUGCUACUCUGGUUAUCGUGGCGACGGCAGGUCUGGAUUGCCAGACAGGUUUUUCUUUUUACCUCGAGGCUUUCUCUGAAGGGAGUCGGAGCAUUUAAAAGGCGGCCUCAAGGUGGAUUGAGUCGGGGGAGGAUUAGCAGUAUUUGCUUAGGUUGUAAAACCGCGACUUUAUCUAAUAAAUCGCCAUUCAAGGUGCAAAUACAAACUUGGAACAGAGAUGUAAAUGAAUUCCUCAAGGUCAGAGACUGUUUUUAUUCAUUUCUACAUCUCCAACACCUGGCAAAGUGCCUCGGCCAUAAAAGGUACUUGAUAAAUCUUGUUGAACUGACCUGACCUACUCUCAGUGAACCCACAUUUUAGUGGGAGAGACACCUUGCUGACAACUGAAAUAUUAUGUAAUGAAGUCAGUGCCACACAAGAUAUGUGUUCAAGGGGUUAUAGGAGCUCUGAGGAGGUACCACAUGUCAUCCGCCUUAUGAUGUCAAAAACUAAACUGUGAGGAAAUUGGAAAUAAGGUCAGAGUUACAUUGUGGUUCUCCAUGUAGGAAAAUAGAGAAAAGAGAGUCUUAUGCUAAUAUUACAUGUACUAUAAAUGCUAAGCAAGACUGUGUACUCUGGGUGAUCAUGUUCUUUUCCUCAAGCAUGAUCUCAUCAGAUUGUGG